UUGACGGGGAGCACCACAACAGGUGGAGCCUGUCGGUUUAAUCGGACUCAACGCCGGGAAACUCACCAGAUAAGACAGCUGAAUGAUAGUCGGGCUGAAGACUCUACUUGACUAGCUGGAGAGGAGGUGCAUGGCCGUCGUCAGUUCGUACUGUGAAGCAUCCUGUUAAGUCAGGCAACGAGCGAGACCCACGCCAACAGUUGCCAGCUCGUCCUCCGGGAUGGUGGGGACACUGUGGGACCGCCGCUGCUAAAGCGGAGGAAGGAAUGGGCAACGGUAGGUCAGUAUGCCCCGAAUAUCCCGGGCUACACGCGAGCUACAAUGGUUGGUACAAUGGGUAUCUACCCGAAAGGGGACGGGAAUCUCCUAAAACCAAUCUUAGUUCGGAUUGAGGGCUGCAACUCGCCCUCAUGAAGCUGGAAUCCGUAGUAAUCGCGUUUCAACAGAACGCGGUGAAUACGUCCCUGCUCCUU
This 473-nucleotide ribosomal RNA is filed under the name uncultured Methanomicrobiales archaeon. RNAcentral describes it as "bacterial SSU rRNA". It matches the Rfam family "Archaeal small subunit ribosomal RNA", at positions 871 to 1337 of the family's 1478-position model. Lineage: Archaea; Methanobacteriati; Methanobacteriota; Methanomicrobia; Methanomicrobiales. The record is from RNAcentral.